RNAcentral lists this ribosomal RNA (561 nucleotides) under Geotrichum candidum. RNAcentral describes it as "LSU rRNA". It matches the Rfam family "Eukaryotic large subunit ribosomal RNA", at positions 65 to 668 of the family's 3401-position model. Lineage: Eukaryota; Fungi; Ascomycota; Dipodascomycetes; Dipodascales; Dipodascaceae. The record is from RNAcentral.
CCCACGGGGUAAUGCCUUAGUACGGCGAGUGAGCGGCAAAAGCUCAAAUUUGAAAUCGGCCACCAGGUCGAGUUGUAAUUUGUAGAUUGUAUCUUGAGAGCGGAUUAAAGUCUGUUGGAACACAGCGCCUUAGAGGGUGACAGCCCCGUAAAAUCUAUUCUCAUUGUAAGAUACUUUCGAAGAGUCGAGUUGUUUGGGAAUGCAGCUCUAAGUGGGAGGUAAAUUCCUUCUAAAGCUAAAUAUUGACGAGAGACCGAUAGCGAACAAGUACUGUGAAGGAAAGAUGAAAAGCACUUUGAAAAGAGAGUGAAAAAGUACGUGAAAUUGUUAAAAGGGAAGGGUAUUGAAUCAGACUUGGUGCUGUUGUUCAACUGUGUUUCGGCAUAGUGUACUCAGCAGUACUAGGCCAAGGUGGGGUGUUUGGGAGUGAAAAAGAAGUAGGAACGUAACUCUUCGGAGUGUUAUAGCCUACUUUCAUAGCUCCUCAGGCGCCUCAGGACUGCGCUUCGGCAAGGACCUUGGCAUAAUGAUUCUAUACCGCCCGUCUUGAAACACGGACCA